RNAcentral lists this transfer RNA (86 nucleotides) under marine eukaryotic metagenome. It matches the Rfam family "tRNA". Rfam says of the family: Transfer RNA (tRNA) molecules are approximately 80 nucleotides in length. Their secondary structure includes four short double-helical elements and three loops (D, anti-codon, and T loops). The record is from RNAcentral.
GAGAGGUGGCAGAGUGGUCGAAUGCGGCGGUCUUGAAAACCGUUGGCGGGUAAUCCCCGUCCGGGGGUUCGAAUCCCUCCCUCUCC